GGUGCAUGGUUGUCGUCAGCUCGUGUCGUGAGAUGUUGGGUUAAGUCCCGCAACGAGCGCAACCCUCGACCUUAGUUGCCAGCAUUCAGUUGGGCACUCUAAGGUGACUGCGGCUAAAAGUCGGAGGAAGGUGGGGAUGACGUCAAAUCAUCAUGCCCCUUAUGACCUGGGCUACACACGUGCUACAAUGGGCGGUACAAAGGGUCGCGAACCCGCGAGGGGGAGCCAAUCCCAAAAAGCCGCUCUCAGUUCGGAUUGCAGGCUGCAACUCGCCUGCAUGAAGCCGGAAUCGCUAGUAAUCGCGGAUCAGCAUGCCGCGGUGAAUACGUUCCCGGGCCUU
RNAcentral lists this ribosomal RNA (340 nucleotides) under uncultured Anoxybacillus sp. Its description in RNAcentral is "bacterial SSU rRNA". It matches the Rfam family "Bacterial small subunit ribosomal RNA", at positions 1040 to 1382 of the family's 1533-position model. The record is from RNAcentral. Lineage: Bacteria; Bacillati; Bacillota; Bacilli; Caryophanales; Anoxybacillaceae.